This 76-nucleotide transfer RNA is filed under the name Gammaproteobacteria bacterium. RNAcentral's name for it is "tRNA-Glu". It matches the Rfam family "tRNA". From Rfam's summary of the family: Transfer RNA (tRNA) molecules are approximately 80 nucleotides in length. Their secondary structure includes four short double-helical elements and three loops (D, anti-codon, and T loops). The record is from RNAcentral. Lineage: Bacteria; Pseudomonadati; Pseudomonadota; Gammaproteobacteria.
GCUCUCUUCGUCUAGCUGGUUAGGACGCUGGCCUCUCACGCCGGUAACAGGGGUUCGAGUCCCCUAGGGAGUACCA